Non-coding RNA from Zea mays, 278 nucleotides. The record is from Rfam. NCBI's taxonomy places the organism in Eukaryota, Viridiplantae, Streptophyta, Magnoliopsida, Poales, Poaceae.
CUGACAUGCGUGCGAGUCGACGGGUUCAGAAACCUGAGAUGCGCAAGGAAGCUGACGAGCGGGAGGCCCUCACGAGCCGCACCGCUGGCCGACCCUGAUCUUCUGUGAAGGGUUCGAGUUGGAGCACGCCUGUCGGGACCCGAAAGAUGGUGAACUAUGCCUGAGCGGGGCGAAGCCAGAGGAAACUCUGGUGGAGGCUCGAAGCGAUACUGACGUGCAAAUCGUUCGUCUGACUUGGGUAUAGGGGCGAAAGACUAAUCGAACCAUCUAGUAGCUGG